RNAcentral lists this unclassified non-coding RNA (221 nucleotides) under soil metagenome. RNAcentral's name for it is "partial contains 5.8S ribosomal RNA, internal transcribed spacer 2, and large subunit ribosomal RNA". The record is from RNAcentral.
AACGCACGAGACCUGCGGACCUGCGGAAGGAUCAUUAAUGAGUUGCAAAACUCCCUAAACCAUUGUGAACCUACCUGUACCGUUCCUUCGGCGGGCGGCGUCAAGCCCUAACCCGUCUCCCUUUACGGGGGAUGGACCCGCCGGAGGCUCCUAAACUCUUAACUUUUGUUGGCAUCUCUGAGUAAAUCAAAAUAAGUCAAAACUUUCAACAACGGAUCUCU